GACGAACCGUGCGACCGUUGUUCGGAAUCACUGGGCUUAAAGGGCGCGUAGGCGGGCUCCCAAGUCUGGGGUGAAAUCUUUCGGCUUAACCGGAAAAGUGCCUCGGAUACUGGGAGCCUUGAGGGAGGCAGGGGCGGAUGGAACUUCCGGUGGAGCGGUGAAAUGCGUUGAUAUCGGAAGGAACGCCGGUGGCGAAAGCGAUCCGCUGGACCUCUUCUGACGCUGAGGCGCGAAAGCCAGGGGAGCAAACGGG
This 253-nucleotide ribosomal RNA is filed under the name uncultured bacterium. Its description in RNAcentral is "partial 16S ribosomal RNA". It matches the Rfam family "Bacterial small subunit ribosomal RNA", at positions 524 to 776 of the family's 1533-position model. The record is from RNAcentral.